GCCGUACUCCCCAGCGGAGUGCUUAAUGCGUUAACUUCAGCACUAAGGGGUGGAAGCCCCCUAACACCUAGCACUCAUCGUUUACGGCGUGGACUACCAGGGUAUCUAAUCCUGUUUGCUACCCACGCUUUCGCACCUCAGCGUCAGAAACAGACCAGAGAGUCGCCUUCGCCACUGGUGUUCCUCCACAUAUCUACGCAUUUCACCGCUACACGUGGAAUUCCACUCUCCUCUUCUGUCCUCAAGUUCCCCAGUUUCCAAUGGCCAUCCACGGUUGAGCCGUGGGCUUUCACAUCAGACUUAAGGAACCGCCUGCGCGCGCUUUACGCCCAAUAAUUCCGGACAACGCUUGCCCCCUACGUAUUACCGCGGCUGCUGGCACGUAGUUAGCCGGGGCUUCCUCGUUAGGUACCGUCAAGGUACCGCUCUGUUCGCACGGUACUUGUUCUUCCCUAACAACAGAACUUUACGAUCCGAAGACCUUCAUCGUUCACGCGGCGUUGCUCCGUCAGACUUUCGUCCAUUGCGGAAGAUUCCCUACUGCUGCCUCCCGUAGGAGUCUGGGCCGUGUCUCAGUCCCAGUGUGGCCGAUCACCCUCUCAGGUCGGCUACGCAUCGUUGCGUUGGUGAGCCGUUACCUCACCAACUAGCUAAUGCGCCGCGGGCCCAUCUGUAAGU
RNAcentral lists this ribosomal RNA (678 nucleotides) under Halobacillus sp. G300II. Its description in RNAcentral is "partial 16S ribosomal RNA". The record is from RNAcentral. Lineage: Bacteria; Bacillati; Bacillota; Bacilli; Caryophanales; Bacillaceae.